AUUGCACAUAAAUGAUAUCGCUGUUGAAUGAUAUUUCAUAUCUUUCACAUUUGUUAUAACUGGGCUGCGUACUGCCUGCGAAUUUGAACUUCAGAGCUGAAGGUGCGAGUGGAGAAAUAGUCCCAAUAUCAUAACAAUCUUAAAACUUCUAAAUAUACCCGUGUGUGUACCCGUGUGCGUGCGUGUGUGCGCGCGCGCGUGCUCGCGCGUGUACAUGUAUGUAUGUAUGUAUGUAUGCGCGUGCGUCUGUGUAUUUUGAAUUUAAAAUGUUUUAACUCGGAAGGAUCUGGAUCACAGGUCAUUUCAUCUGAGAUCAAUCCGCACGCAACAGCUGGAAUCACUUACUGAUUCACACAAGGGAGGACACAAUUCAGCCGUUUCCUCAAGUUCACGUCAGAGCGGAGAUGAUGUGAGAGGCAGACCCGAGACAUAGCGAGACAGUCUCCGCUUGGACUGGCUGAGGAAAGUCUCCUAAAUGGCCCUGGAGAUGUUCUGACUGACUUUGGAGGCUUUUUGGACUGUUUUAUGCCCUCUAUUUAAAGAAGACUUAAUUCUGUAUGUUCAGUCUGUAUGAUAAGUGAAUAAGUGAAUAAAAAGCUUUUGUUUUUAUGUGA
Paramisgurnus dabryanus is the source of this 614-nucleotide long non-coding RNA. RefSeq lists it as uncharacterized. The record is from RefSeq and is a predicted model, not a curated record. Lineage: Eukaryota; Metazoa; Chordata; Actinopteri; Cypriniformes; Cobitidae.